Molecule: ribosomal RNA, 497 nt
Filed under: uncultured bacterium
Lineage: Bacteria
Description: partial 16S ribosomal RNA
Rfam family: Bacterial small subunit ribosomal RNA
Source: RNAcentral
GAUGAACGCUGGCGGCGUGCCUAAUACAUGCAAGUCGAGCGAACAGACGAGGAGCUUUCUCCUCUGACGUUAUCGGCGGACGGGUGAUUAACACGUGGAUAACCUACCUAUAAGACUGGGAUAACUUCGGGAAACCGGAGCUAAUACCCGAUAAUAUAUUGAACCGCAUUGUGCAAUAGUUAAAGUCGGUUUUUCUGUCACUUAUAGAUUGAUCCGCGCCGCAUUAGCUAGUUGGUAAGGUAACGGCUUACCAAGGCGAGGAUGCGUAGACGACCUGAGAGGGUGAACGGCCACACUGGAAGUGAGACUCGGUCGAGACUCCUACGGGAGGCAGCAGUGGGGAAUCUUCCGCAAUGGGCGAAAGCCUGACGGAGCAACGUCGCGUGAGUGAUGAAGGUCUUCGGAUCGGAAAACUAUGUUAUUAGGAAAGAACAAAAGUGUAAGUAACUAUGCACGUCUUGACGGUACCUAGUCAGAAAGCUACGGCUAACUACGUG